UUGCAGGCAAUUAAGCCAACUGUGCUGUUUUCCCCAUGGGAGCCUGGUAUGCAAUGGUUACAGACAGCAAACUCCUUGACAAUGUAUUCAGCCCGUUGCCUGUAUGGGUUGCCCUAAGGGACCUUGGAGAUAGCC
This is a small nucleolar RNA of Capra hircus (goat), 135 nucleotides long. Its record names the gene SNORA70. It matches the Rfam family "Small nucleolar RNA SNORA70". From Rfam's summary of the family: snoRNA U70 seems to be exclusive to mammals and is a member of the H/ACA class of snoRNA which contain H (ANANNA) and ACA box motifs. H/ACA box snoRNAs are involved in the conversion of uridines to pseudouridines (5-ribosyluracil) a constituent of structural RNAs (transfer, ribosomal, small nuclear, and small nucleolar). NCBI's taxonomy places the organism in Eukaryota, Metazoa, Chordata, Mammalia, Artiodactyla, Bovidae. The record is from Ensembl.